GCGGGGCCGUAGUGUCACAGUGGCUUUUAGCAGUAUUUAAUCAUGGUAAAUACGUUUCUGUAAACGAUUGACCACUUAUAUUCGCGAGUAACUUUCUCAUUUGAAAAUUUUCUGCGUGGUUUCUUCUUAAACGCGUUUUGCCCUCAAUUUCAGUGGCACAAGCGGUGGAAAACUACCAGGGCUCGGAGGGAAGGUUCUUUCUUUGAUUGGCCAUGAAUGUGCCCAGGGCUUGGGGCCUUUACUGUUGCUAAAAGACCGCACACCGGAGUCACAGUUCUCGACCAGCCAGUUUGACCUCGCAGUAGUCCCACUGCAGCAGUCAAUUUCCGGUGUGUCAUGGGCAUUUUUGUGCAAUUAGAUAUGACUUAUUCAAUUGCAGCUUACCAUUUUUCUUUUUACGAGCCAUCACAGGCAUGCGUGCAACAUGUCACACUGUGUUGUUUAAAUUCCUUGUUAGUUUUUCUCCUUAUUAUGCACCACAGUGCCCCACACAAACACAACGCCACAACGCUUGCCAAUACCGCCUAAGGCUGGUACUCUGGAGAUAAUUGCGGAAGACCAGAAGAGGCUGGCCGAGGCAGUGGAGGGUCUGCGGGCUGACACAGCACAG
Molecule: long non-coding RNA, 610 nt
Filed under: Dermacentor andersoni
Lineage: Eukaryota; Metazoa; Arthropoda; Arachnida; Ixodida; Ixodidae
Description: uncharacterized LOC126520643
Source: RNAcentral